UACGUAGGAUGCUAGCGUUGUCCGGAUUUACUGGGCGUAAAGCGCGCGCAGGCGGCACACCAAGUACGCAGUGAAAUCUCCCUGCUCAACGGGGAGGGUGCUGAGUAAACUGGUGAGCUAGAGGACGGUAGAGGGGGGUGGAAUUCCCGGUGUAGCGGUGAAAUGCGUAGAGAUCGGGAGGAACAUCAGUGGCGAAGGCGGCCCUCUGGACCAGUACUGACGCUGAGGCACGAAAGCGUGGGGAGCAAACAGG
This 253-nucleotide ribosomal RNA is filed under the name uncultured bacterium. Its description in RNAcentral is "partial 16S ribosomal RNA". It matches the Rfam family "Bacterial small subunit ribosomal RNA", at positions 524 to 776 of the family's 1533-position model. The record is from RNAcentral.